RNAcentral lists this small nuclear RNA (23 nucleotides) under Arabidopsis thaliana (thale cress). RNAcentral's name for it is "snRNA_10624". Lineage: Eukaryota; Viridiplantae; Streptophyta; Magnoliopsida; Brassicales; Brassicaceae. The record is from RNAcentral.
UUGCCCUUUAUUUUCUUUUCCAU